RNAcentral lists this unclassified non-coding RNA (313 nucleotides) under plant metagenome. Its description in RNAcentral is "partial contains 5.8S ribosomal RNA, internal transcribed spacer 2, and large subunit ribosomal RNA". The stretch from base 1 to 105 matches the Rfam family "5.8S ribosomal RNA", at positions 50 to 154 of the family's 154-position model. The record is from RNAcentral.
GAAAUGCGAUAAGUAAUGUGAAUUGCAGAAUUCCGUGAAUCAUCGAGUCUUUGAACGCACAUUGCGCCCUCUGGCAUUCCGGGGGGCAUGCCUGUCCGAGCGUCAUUACGCACCCUCAAGCCCGGCUUGUGUGAUGGGCCCCGGCGUCUCGUUCGCGAGACGGGCCCGAAAGGCAGCGGCGGCGUCGACCCGAUGAGCCCGAGCGUAUGGGGACUUCUGUCACACGUUCGCGGUGCGGACCGGCGCCUGCUUUGACUUUUCUGAUUAUCCAGGUUGACCUCGGAUCAGGUAGGGAUACCCGCUGAACUUAAGC